CCUACGGGAGGCAGCAGUGAGGAAUAUUGGUCAAUGGGCGUAAGCCUGAACCAGCCAAGUCGCGUGAGGGAUGAAGGUUCUAUGGAUCGUAAACCUCUUUUAUAAGGGAGUAAAGUGUGGGACGUGUCCUAUUUUGUAUGUACCUUAUGACUAAGGAUCGGCUAACUCCGUGCCAGCAGCCGCGGUAAUACGGAGGUUCCGAGCGUUAUCCGGCUUUAUUGGGGUUAAAGGGUGCGUAGGCGGCCUUUUAAGUCAGCGGUGAAAGUCUGUGGCUCAACCAUAGUAUUGCCGUUGAAACUGGGGGGCGUGAGUAUGUGUGAGGCAGGCGGAAUGCGUGGUGUAGCGGUGAAAUGCUUAGAUAUCACGCAGAACCCCGAUGGCGAAGGCAGCCUGCCAAGCCAUGACUGACGCUGAGGCACGAAAGCGUGGGGAUCAAACAGGAUUAGAUACCCGGGUAGUC
Molecule: ribosomal RNA, 460 nt
Filed under: uncultured bacterium
Lineage: Bacteria
Description: partial 16S ribosomal RNA
Rfam family: Bacterial small subunit ribosomal RNA
Source: RNAcentral